AAAGAAAUUGCGGCCGGUGUUGG
RNAcentral lists this non-coding RNA (23 nucleotides) under Arabidopsis thaliana (thale cress). The record is from RNAcentral. Lineage: Eukaryota; Viridiplantae; Streptophyta; Magnoliopsida; Brassicales; Brassicaceae.